Molecule: non-coding RNA, 608 nt
Organism: Heterocephalus glaber (naked mole-rat)
Lineage: Eukaryota; Metazoa; Chordata; Mammalia; Rodentia; Bathyergidae
Source: RefSeq, a predicted model, not a curated record
CUCCAAGACAAAAGGCUAUUGAACUUUUUUCACAAUGUAGGUUUUGUGAUUUGUGGUAACUAAUAAGGCAAGGACAUCAGACAUGUAAUGCUGUGAUUCAAUGAGGAUAUAUAAGAUCAAAGCUAACUCAAAUAUGGAGGAAGUUGCUGUCAUUGCUAUUGGCCCUCAUGAUUUGUCCAAAGACCAGCAUUAGGAAUUUUAGAACUCAAAAGUUUAUAAGAAUCAAAAAAGAUUUGAUGAAACCUAUCAUUUCAUGGAAACAAAACCAUCAUAUACUUCAGGAGAAAAAAAACCAAUGAAACCCAACAACAACAGCAACAAAAAAAAUCAAACAAACAAACUACCACAACAAAAACAAAGAAAAAUCAACCUAAGCCAGAUCUUGGAUGGAAAUAUUCGAAACAGCCAAUAUAUAGGACAAAGAUAAGAAUGAGACACUCUUUUGUUAGGCCAGAAGGCACUGAAUUAUGUCUUCAUAUUUCUGGAAAACAUAGAUUAAUAUAUCCAGUGAUAGUAAAAGUUAUUGAAAUAUUUUUUCAGAUGGAAAAAUCUGAGAGAAUUCAGAACUGGAGAACUAUAAAGGAGGCCUUCAGGAAGACUGAAAAGGA